Molecule: ribosomal RNA, 253 nt
Filed under: uncultured bacterium
Lineage: Bacteria
Description: partial 16S ribosomal RNA
Rfam family: Bacterial small subunit ribosomal RNA
Source: RNAcentral
GACAGAGGGUGCAAACGUUGUUCGGAAUUACUGGGCGUAAAGCGUGCGCAGGUGGUCUUUUAAGUCAGAUGUGAAAUCCCCGGGCUUAACCUGGGGACUGCGUUUGAAACUGGAAGGCUAGAGUGUGGCAGAGGGGGGUGGAAUUCCACGUGUAGCAGUGAAAUGCGUAGAGAUGUGGAGGAACACCGAUGGCGAAGGCAGCCCCCUGGGCUAACACUGACGCUCAUGCACGAAAGCGUGGGGAGCAAACAGG